Molecule: ribosomal RNA, 497 nt
Filed under: uncultured bacterium
Lineage: Bacteria
Description: partial 16S ribosomal RNA
Rfam family: Bacterial small subunit ribosomal RNA
Source: RNAcentral
GAUGAACGCUGGCGGCGUGCCUAAUACAUGCAAGUCGAGCGGACGGACGCGGCGCUUGCUUUUCUGAUGUUAGCGGCGGGCGUGUGAGUAACACGUGGAUAACCUACCUAUAAGACUGGGAUAACUUCGGGAAACCGGAGCUUAUACCGGAUAAUAUUUUGAACCGCAUGGUUCAAUAGUGAAAGACGGUCUUGCUGUCACUUCUCGCUGGAUCCGGGCUGCAUUAGCUAGUUGGUAAGGUAACGGCUUACCAAGGCAACGCGGCGUAGCCGACCUGAUAGGGGGAUCGGCCACACUGGAACGGAGACGCGGUCCUGGCGCCUACGGGAGGCAGCAGAAGGGAACGUGAGGCAGUGGGGGGAAGCCUGACGGAGCAAGGCCGCGUGUGAGAUGGAGGCCUUCGGAGCGUGAAGCUCGGUUAUGGGGGAAGAACAUAUGUGUAAGGAAAUGAGGCCUGCGUGACGGUACCGAGUAAGAAAGCAACGGCUAACUACGUG